This 346-nucleotide unclassified non-coding RNA is filed under the name Hevea brasiliensis (rubber tree). The record is from RNAcentral. Lineage: Eukaryota; Viridiplantae; Streptophyta; Magnoliopsida; Malpighiales; Euphorbiaceae.
AAUCCACCUUCACCAAAUUUUAUAUCCCCUUGAUUUUGGUAUGACAUCAAAGAGAGUAUGCACCUAUGUAUAAUUUGUUUUACAUGUAAAAUAAAUAACAAUGAAGGUAGAUGGAUGGACACAAGUUAAAUAAUGAAGAACCAAUAUAUUAGCAGAAAAAGCCCUCUCCGAUCAAACCAAUGAAACCUUAGCUCUCUCCAAUCACACCAAUGAAAGCUUAUUUGCAUGGUAGACUUGGAUUUGACUCAUGUCAUCAGCAUGUUUGGCAUUGUGGUUUGAGGGCCAAAAGAGUUUUUCAAGACAAAAAGAAAUCAUUUUAGAUACAGUUUGAAAAAAGCUAUUUUGU